Molecule: ribosomal RNA, 253 nt
Filed under: uncultured bacterium
Lineage: Bacteria
Description: partial 16S ribosomal RNA
Rfam family: Bacterial small subunit ribosomal RNA
Source: RNAcentral
GACAGAGGCCCCGAGCGUUAGGCGGAAUCACUGGGCUUAAAGCGUGUGUAGGCGGAUCGUUAAGUGUCUUGUGAAAUCCCACGGCUCACCCGUGGAACUGCUGGGCAUACUGGCGAUCUUGGGCCGUUCAGGGGCGACUGGAACAAGCGGUGGAGCGGUGAAAUGCGUAGAUAUCUGGAGGAACACCAGCGGCGAAGGCGGCGCUCUGGGCUGGAACUGACGCUGAGGAGCGAAAGCGUGGGGAGCGAACAGG